UACCAGCUCUCCGAGUGGUGGGGAUGCUUAUUGGGCCUAAAGCAUUCGUAGCCGGCUGGGCAAGUCCUCCGUUAAAUCCAGCGAUUCAAUCGUUGGACUGCAGGGGAUACUGUCCGGCUAGGGGGCGGAAGAGGCCGACGGUAUUCUCGGGGUAGGGUGAAAUCCUAUAAUCCCGGGAGGACCACCAGUGGCGAAGGCUGUCGGCUAGAACGCGCCCGACGGUGAGGGAUGAAAGCUGGGGGAGCGAACCGGAUUAGAUACCCGGGUAGUCCCAGCUGUAAACUAUGCAGGCUAGGUGUUGGCGCGGCUACGUGCCGCUCCAGUGCCGCAAGGAAGCCGUUAAGCCUGCCGCCUGGGAAGUACGGCCGCAAGGCUGAAACUUAAAGGAAUUGGCGGGGGAGCACCACAAGGGGUGAAGCUUGCGGUUU
Molecule: ribosomal RNA, 428 nt
Filed under: uncultured archaeon
Lineage: Archaea
Description: bacterial SSU rRNA
Rfam family: Archaeal small subunit ribosomal RNA
Source: RNAcentral